This 507-nucleotide unclassified non-coding RNA is filed under the name uncultured Entrophospora. RNAcentral's name for it is "SSU rRNA". It matches the Rfam family "Eukaryotic small subunit ribosomal RNA", at positions 591 to 1092 of the family's 1831-position model. Lineage: Eukaryota; Fungi; Glomeromycota; Glomeromycetes; Entrophosporales; Entrophosporaceae. The record is from RNAcentral.
CCAAUAGCGUAUAUUAAAGUUGUUGCAGUUAAAAAGCUCGUAGUUGAAUUUCGGGAUUGACACAUCGGUCGUGCCUUAAGGGGUAUGAACUGGUGUAGUCAAUUUCUCACCUUCUGGAGAACCGCGAUGUCCUUAAUUGGGUGCCGCGAGGAACCAGGACCUUUACUUUGAAAAAAUUAGAGUGUUUAAAGCAGGCAUUUUUGCUUGAAUACAUUAGCAUGGAAUAAUAAAAUAGGACGGCAUUAUUCUAUUUUGUUGGUUUUUAGGAUCACCGUAAUGAUUAAUAGGGAUAGUUGGGGGCAUUAGUAUUCAAUUGUCAGAGGUGAAAUUCUUGGAUUUAUUGAAGACUAACUACUGCGAAAGCAUUUGCCAAGGAUGUUUUCAUUAAUCAAGAACGAAAGUUAGGGGAUCGAAGACGAUCAGAUACCGUCGUAGUCUUAACCAUAAACUAUGCCGACUAGGAAUCAGACGAUGUUAAUUUUUUAAUGACUCGUUUGGCACCUUACG